This is a long non-coding RNA of Diceros bicornis minor, 861 nucleotides long. RefSeq lists it as uncharacterized. The record is from RefSeq and is a predicted model, not a curated record. Lineage: Eukaryota; Metazoa; Chordata; Mammalia; Perissodactyla; Rhinocerotidae. The transcript has 3 exons.
CCCACGUGUGUGAGCUCACACGCAUGUGCCCGUGAGCACCUGGGUGUGCGCGGAACACAACCAAUAGGAGGUAGAUAUCCAGAAAGAGAUUUAUUCUGAGGACUCGGCUCUCGUGAUUCUGGAGGCUGACCCGUCCCAGGAUCUGCAGUCAGCGAGCUGGAGACCCUGCAGGGCCUGUGGCUCAGUUUCAGUCUGAGUCCAAAGGCCCGAGACCCAGGAAGAGCCGAUGUUUCGGUUCAAGUCCAAAGGCAGGAAAAACUGAUGUCCCAGCUCAAGGGCAGUCAGGCAGGAGGAGUUCCCUCUUACAUCAAGAAGAAACCUCCAGACUCUCACAGACACAUCCAGAACCAUGUUUGGCCAAAUAUCUGGGCCCUUUGUAACCCAGUCAAGUUGACACAUAAAAUUAAUCAUCUCAGGAAAACCCAAAACCUGAGAACAUUCUAGGUCCCCAGGACGUGCAGCUGCCUCCCGUCCCAUCCCAGACCCUGCCCAUUGGGGUCCUUGGGCGCCACUGAGCUCCCUUCAGCCCCUCCACAAGCGUCCUCCAGGCCUUUACACAUGCGGGGCCUGCUGCCGGGUACCCUCUUUCCCCCAGCCAACCUUCCCUUCCCUACCUCGGCCCGAUCCUUCAGUUGUAGCUUCAACCCCACCCUCUGGGAGGCCCUCGGGACCCCCUGCUCCUUGGGCUUGGGCGGGCGCUGUCUCCGGUGCUGCCCCAGGGCCCCAUGCCUCCUCCAGGCCCAGCAGGAUGGUGACAUGUCAGGGGCUUUGGAAGUAGCAUGCUCAGCAUCAGCUCCUUCAAUAAAGGAGGCACCAAAACCGUCGCAAAUGAACCAGGAGCUACGAGGACGCUUGGAGCAG